Non-coding RNA from Pelobates cultripes (western spadefoot toad), 223 nucleotides. The record is from the annotation of a GenBank genome assembly. Lineage: Eukaryota; Metazoa; Chordata; Amphibia; Anura; Pelobatidae.
CACUGACCUUUCACCUUGCUUCCUUGAGCUUCUGGCAAAGACUUGUUUUUUUGUAUUUCUAUCCACUUUUUGUAUCACACAGCUAUGUUACAAUGCUGCCGCCCAUCCCAUGUGUUCCCUAUUAAGGGUUAAUAAGUAUGUAGGGAUGUAAAAAAUACCCCUCUCUGUAUCAUUAGAGAUGUCUUUGCCAGAAGCUCAAGGAAGCAAGGUGAAAGGUCAGUGU